This 817-nucleotide unclassified non-coding RNA is filed under the name Hevea brasiliensis (rubber tree). The record is from RNAcentral. Lineage: Eukaryota; Viridiplantae; Streptophyta; Magnoliopsida; Malpighiales; Euphorbiaceae.
GGAUAUUAAGGAGUGCAAUAUGUAUUGGCCCACAACUAUUGUUUUAUCCCGCCACCCCUAAUGUGUUCAUUGCAUUGGUUAGCUUAAUUAUGUGUUGGUUAGCUUAAUUAUGUGUUGGUGAACUUGUUUGUUCUCAGUGUGUGUUUGAUGCAUUUGGGUUUUAUACUGGACUAAUGGUCAUGUAGGUUCUCUGGGGAUUGGGGAACUAACUGAGGAGUUUCUGUUGUUUUCUGUUUAGUGAUGGAUGAUUUGGGUUUUUUAUCAAUUUCUUAUUAGUAAGAGAACCAGCUUUAACGUCAGAUAUGAUUAGCAAAGAAGUCUAGCAUAUGCUCGGUGUAAAUUCUUGUUGUUGCUGUAUUAGCUGAUAUAUUUAUGCUUCCGUUCUUAAAUCUGGCAUUGGCUUUGAUGGCGGUCAUAGGAUAUUUUUAUAUGCUUAUGUAUGCCAUGCUAUCUUUUAUAUGAUUUUAAAACUGAUGAAUGCCUUAAAUGGAGAACUAAGUCAACUCUCAGAACUCAGCAACAGCUGUAAAUCAUUGUUUUCAGAUACAUGUUUUUGCAUCUUGAUAAGGUUAAAACAAUAAGGGUGAAAAAAUCGUUUGUUUUUCUUUCUAAUUCUGAUACAAUUUUUAAUACAAUCAGAGCAAUGAAUUUCAUUCUGAUGCAAUUAGACACAUUUAUUCUGGAAUUUUAAUUUCUAUAUAUGGACAGGAAAUUUAUAGGAUGUAGGAUUUCAGUUUGUGGAGUACCAAUAGCACCAUCAUGCAAAUAAGAACUUCGAAUUAGUUCACAGCUAAUGGAAUGCUUUAAUUGCAGGUAC